UGUUUCGAGGAGCGUUGCAAGGCCACCCCCCGGCCCCAGGCUCGAAACCACUUCCCAGUGCAACGUCGCUCACCCCCA
RNAcentral lists this non-coding RNA (78 nucleotides) under Burkholderiales bacterium. Its description in RNAcentral is "SAH sequence". It matches the Rfam family "SAH (S-adenosyl-L-homocysteine) riboswitch aptamer". RNAcentral also lists the same sequence under 1 other name. Lineage: Bacteria; Pseudomonadati; Pseudomonadota; Betaproteobacteria; Burkholderiales. The record is from RNAcentral.